Molecule: long non-coding RNA, 2631 nt
Filed under: Coffea arabica (coffee)
Lineage: Eukaryota; Viridiplantae; Streptophyta; Magnoliopsida; Gentianales; Rubiaceae
Description: long non-coding RNA (CARA_LNC005717)
Source: RNAcentral
AUACAACAUAAUGGGUACGGGAGACAAAAACUCAUGACAUAACUUUCUUAUACAUGGAUUAAUGGGUAUUUAAACUAAAAAGUUAUAAUCACCCAUUUCCAUGUUCAAAAAUAAUUCUCCUAAUAUGAACAAACAAAUGAACUAACUUAUUAUACAAUUUCUUAAAUGAGAUGCAAUUCUAAAUGUUGUAAUUAACACAUAUAGAGGAUAGGGGUAAAAUAAUAAGGAAUAUCAUGCAAAUGAGAAAUGAUCCUAAAAAUGAAAAUAUGCAUGAAAAUGUAAUGAAUAUCACACGAAGAUGAAUCUAAUGCAUAAACAAUCUAAGAGUCUAGCAUUGGACUAGCAAGUAAACGGAGGGGGAAAAACCACAACUAGCAUUGGACUAGUGUGGUAACGUCACGCAUUAAUAAUAUAUAAUAAGACAAAUAGGCAUAAAUUAAAACAAAUAAACACAUAAGAGCACGUAGCACGUAACACAUAAGCAUAAUAUCUAGAUGCAAAAAUCCUAAAGAAAGCGGGUAAGCCAUUAACACAUAAGUCACAUAAACACGCAACCUACCUAUUACAUCGGGGAGCCUAACUACAAUCUAAAUGGGGAAAGUAUAAUAAAAUAAACCUAUUUAUCCUAUUUAUUACAUUGGUCUAUCUAAUUACAAUUUUUGUAAAAAAUAUUACCUAUCUAUUACAUCUUGAGGUAUUUAAACACCUCUCAAAUAAUUAAAAAUUAACUAAACAAACAUAAGAAAAUUCAAAUGAACAUUUAAAUCAAAUAAAUAAAGCAUAUGGAAAUAUAUAAACACAUAUAAACACUUAGGAGCACAUAAGAGCACGUAAUUGAUAUUGAAAUAAUAAUAAUAGAGGUACCUCCCUUUUGAAGUGGUGACCUAAUGGAGUUACAUGGCCCUAUUUAUACUCAAAAUAAACAAAAGAAUCAUAGCACCAAUUUAAUUGAAAAAUAACAAUAAUGAUAAGAAAUUCAUCUUAAUAUGUCUAAACGCCUAGAAAUUUAAGAACAACUAAAAAUUACAAGUUAAAUAUAUUCAAAAGUAACAUAAUUAGCUAUUAAAGAAAAGAAACAAUCAUAAUAAAGAGAGUCUAAAUUCAGUAGGGAUUGAAUUGCAAAAAUUAAAAAACUUUUGGAGGUAAAAAUAUAAUUUUCUAAAGUUUAGAGGCCAAAAUUAAAUAAAAGAUAAAGUUAAGGGACCAAAGUACAAUUAAUUUAAGAACCUAAAUAAAAGAAAUUUAAAAUGUUCUGAGCCACAGUGAAACUACUCCAAACAUCAGGGGCUAAAGUGCAAAUCCGUUUCUGGUCUCUUAGGAAACAAGGCCACUGGGCCAAAUUUUGUUUAUUUUCUGGGCCAAAAAUCCCUUCAGCCCAAACGAAACCCGAAAAGAAAUAAACCAAAAUCCAUGCCCAAAACCCAACCCAAAAUAACCACCAGCCCAUCAGAAUAAAAAAAACAUUAGCCCAUUCUUUUAUUGAGUAAAUCUUUCCUACACUGACGGUGUAUACACUAUCAUCGUUAGAUUCAUGACAUGUGUGUAAAAGUUGAAUUUCAAAUUCAAAUUUUACAUAGUUGUCAAUAAUCCAACGCUGAUAGUGUAUACACUGUCAGUGUAGGAAAGAUUAAUCCUUCUUUUUUUAUUUCCCUUCUCUUUUUUUUUUCUUCUUUUCUUUCUUCUUCCCUUCCUUCUGUUUAUUCUUCUUCCCCGGCGACCUGAAGCUCCUCGCACCGCCGGGCGCCGGCGAAUUUUUCCGGUUACAAAAAAUUAUCAGCAUACACACCCCAACUCGAUUUUUCGCGUAGAAUCCGUUUUUCAAGUUAGUUUUUACAAAAAAUGACCCGAAAAUGGCCAAAAUAGCAAAAGUCAGUCCAGUUUUUAUUUUCUUAAAACCCUUAAACCUUCACCAAAAAUCAUAAAAAAUUAUGCCAAAACCCUCCUUAUAACUUCUACAUUACAACUAUAAUUUUAAUUUGACAAGAAAAUAACAUAAAAAGGCUAAAUUAAAGCAAAACAGCCCUUAAAAAUUCAUUUUCUUUCGUUGCCUUUUAGACUACAAAAUUAACACAAAACUUAAUUAAACAAACUCCUCAAACCAGUAACUAGUCAUGAUUAUUCAUUUUAACAACAAUACAUGUACAAAAUUAACAUUUUAAUCCGAUUUUCCAUCUUGGCAUUUUUUCAAACAGUUAAUACGCAUACAUAAGAAACAUUUCCUUUCCUAAAUAUGGUUCAUGCCAUUUCCCAAAUUUUUAACAAUACAACAGCAACAAUGCAAGGCAGCAAAAACAGGAGAAAAUAAGUAACGAAAUAUGAAUUUAAUGUGAAAAACAAAACUGAAAAAAAAAAAGAAAAAAAAAUACCUCUAGAAUAUUGCAGUCACUUGGUUGAGCUUUGUGGUGAAAUUCCUAAAUCUAAUGGUGUGACCGCUAGUUCCCCCCUUUUGUUUGAUUUGGGGAUGGGUGUGUGAACUUAAGAGAAGCAAAGAGGGACCGAGAGUUGGGGUCCUGGGUUUGAGUUGUUUGUGUUGUUUUUAAGAAAAUGAGAGGGAGCCUUGAGAAAGAGCCGAGAGAGUGAAUUGAGGGAGGAUUUUUUUUACUUCUCUGAUGGUCUCUUUUCUAUCUGGGC